AGCUGGUCCAAGUCAAGUGGUGUUUACAACAUCAUGACCAGUUACAGGUUUCUUUGUUCCCUUUCCACUUCCAUUGCUGCACUUAACUAGACUUAA
This 96-nucleotide Y RNA is filed under the name Microcebus murinus (gray mouse lemur). RNAcentral's name for it is "Y RNA (ENSMICG00000024463.3)". It matches the Rfam family "Y RNA". From Rfam's summary of the family: Y RNAs are components of the Ro ribonucleoprotein particle (Ro RNP), in association with Ro60 and La proteins. The Y RNAs and Ro60 and La proteins are well conserved, but the function of the Ro RNP is not known. The record is from Rfam by way of RNAcentral. Lineage: Eukaryota; Metazoa; Chordata; Mammalia; Primates; Cheirogaleidae.